Molecule: long non-coding RNA, 1390 nt
Filed under: Homo sapiens (human)
Lineage: Eukaryota; Metazoa; Chordata; Mammalia; Primates; Hominidae
Description: HSALNT0146468
Source: RNAcentral
UUUAAAGCUCAUCUUUAGAAAACUGUAAGGAAAAGGCAAUCUUUUCUCCAGUUCUUUAGAGCUUAUACCUGGGGAGCACCUUGAACAGUCUGGGGGAAAUUUCUAGAUAAAAGUCCAUGGAGCAGGGCUUCUAGAAAGGUAGGUUCCUAUAGCUGCCUACCCUAUUCUCUGAACAGAGCAGCGAUGCCACACAUUUGGAGACCAGCAUGGUCUUCAAGUAAGAUAGUACCAUGCUAGUCUCCAAAUGACCCCCAGGGAGAUGGAUUUCUAGCAGAACCUCUUCAUUCUCUGGCUGCAGUGGGUCCAAAAGAUUCCUUUCCAUGAUGCAUCCCAGCCUUACAGAAGAAAUGCAUGUUAGAUCCUUCUAUCAUCCUGAGAAUUUGGACAUGUGAAAAUAAGCAAGAAACCCAGAACCAAAUGUAUAGAUUUGGAAGCUGUUGAUCUGAGAAGAAUCUGAGCCUGAAAGUGUUAUUCUCACUGGCUCUGGCCUGGACCAAGAGAAUGCAGAAAUGGCUUCCAUUCUGUGAGCUGUGACUUCUAACGUGGCCACAUAGCUGGUGGAGAGGUGACAACCUUCAUCUCCAAGGAUCCCCUGCACUGCUUGCUUUAUGCCCAGAGCAACCUCAUGCUGACAAGGACUGCACAGUUUUGAACACCCAUGCUCCAAUCAAAAGAAACCAAUUUGUGAGAGACGAUAUAAAUCCAUGAAUACUGCACUGAAACCUCUUUCUGCUCCAGGCAGAGAAGAUAAAUUACCACCCGAGUGAUAUAAAGUUAGUUUGAAUAUUUCAUUGGAUCAAAUGCAACAUGUCUCAGAACCUCUCCUCUUUUAAGUCAGAAUUAAAGAAUUGUUAUCAGGCAUAAUAAUAGACACUAUCAUUUGCAUACAUUUUAUCUCAAGAGACUUUUGAAGUUAUGCAAUACGCCAGUGGUUAAUUGUUCUUCACACUCCUGACAUAUCAAAUUACAGCUCAGAUGAGAGAGCAACCCAUUUGUGACUGGAAUGAUUGGCAGGAGCCUACAAGGAGAGCAUCUUCGAGGACUGAAGGAGGAGUAUCUUUUCAGGCUUUUCCAUGGAGACCUUGGAGACCAUGGGUUCUAGAUGGUUCUGUUAUAACAUGAUGGAGACUUCAUUAGUCUGGGUUCCUAGACGAGUGUGAAACACUUUCCCCACUGAUUGAAUUACAAUUAUAAUGUGAAAGAAAAAUAAAUCUUUAUUGUGUAAAACUACUGAAAUAUCAGAGUUACAAUACUGUAGUGUAGCAAAUUCUGGCAAAUACUUCCCAGCAUAUUUUCAAUUCCAUUUCAUUGGCCAAGCCUAGAUGAUAUGGUCACCUAUAGCUGAAGGAAGGCUGGGAAAGAUGGAAGAGGAUUGCUUAUUUGGCUUAAA